GUCUGGUCUGCAGCUCCAGCUAGCUAAUGUGUCUGGUAGAGGGGAAAACUAACCAUACACUCCCCACAUUGAGGAGAAUUUUCUGGCGUCAUUAUCAGG
Long non-coding RNA from Melanotaenia boesemani (Boeseman's rainbowfish), 99 nucleotides. RefSeq lists it as uncharacterized. NCBI's taxonomy places the organism in Eukaryota, Metazoa, Chordata, Actinopteri, Atheriniformes, Melanotaeniidae. The record is from RefSeq and is a predicted model, not a curated record. The transcript is spliced from 3 exons.